UUCUCUCUCCUGAUAUGUUACCUCACCCUUUUUGGUCCAACAGACUUAAGCUUCAAGAGAUAAACCUAAGCAGCAUCAAGAUCCCAGAUUAAGUCACAAGCAUUCUAACAAGUGGGUGGACCAUGGCAAUGGGACAUCUAGGAGAAUACUAUCUAGAAGUCCAAGUAGGUGUCAUCUUGGACAUUUGUCUUCAGGAAGCAGAGCCCCAGACAUAGAGAUCAGGGCUAGCGGUCAGGGUUAGGGCUCCAGUUCCUACAUGAGAACCAAGGAUAAGUGAGAGAAUUGGAAUAGGAACUUGGAAUGGCAUCCACAACAGGAUUCCAGUCCCAUGAGCAUGGUAUAGGAGUAGAGUUGGCCAGAGAGGGUAGGUUUGGAAACUUAGGCUUUAGGAUAAGGAGGGACUUCUGCUGGGGGGAUGAGAGUAAGAGAUCAACUCAAGACCUCAGUGGUCAAUGCAAAGGUACCAUGACCAAGGAUGGCUAACAGGGAUAGUGAGGUGAUAACCCUCAACUGGGGACAGUGGUUGCUUGAGCAGACUGUCCUCAGGUCCUUAUUGGUCUUGGUAGGAGGAUAAUUGAGUCUGAAGGAGAGAACAUUGGUAUAUCUAAAUAUGGAUUGUUGCAUCAGAGAGUGUAGGGGACACUGACAGUUAGGGACUGGAGUGGAGAAUGAAGGAAGAUAUGUCCUACAGCAUCAUCUCAAAAAUGUUUCUUCUCUGGAGGUUUGUGAGAUGUUGUGUGGUGGAAUGGAAAGUGCAUGAAUGUUUGAGUCAGGUAGAUUUGUAUUAAAUCUUGGCUCUGCCACUUUCCAGUUGGAUGACUUUGGCUAAGUCACUUGACCUCUAUGAGUCUCUUUUCCCACCUGAAAAAGGAGGAUAAUAAUACCCCUCUUGCUUGGUUGACAAAAGGAAAAAAUGAGAUGACAUUUACAAAACAUUCAGCACCCAUAAUGGGUCCUCAGUGUAUUGUAGCUAGAGGGAAGCGUUCCCCCAACACCUUACGCUGAUUGUAUUAACAUAGGAGGAAGACACCCUGAAAAGGAAAAGCAGGAAUACACUUUGUAUUGUUACUACACAAGAGAUACUUGUUCACUGUAGAAAAUCAGAAAACAUGGAGAAGCAAAAAUUACAAAGCAAACAUUACUCAUAAUUCUACUACCCGCAAGAUAGUUAUUAUCAACCUUUUGAUAUAUUUCUUUUCAGAUCAUACAUACCUACACACACAUAUAUGCAUAUAUAUUGUAAAAUUUAGGAUUAUUCUAUACUUACUGUCUUGUAAGCUGCUUUUUACUCAACAACACAUUAUGAACAACUUUCUUUUCUACUCAAUAUAUAUCUCAAUAAAAUUUUCUGCGACUGUAUAAUGGCCCAUAGUAUGAACAGUUCACAUUUUACUUAAUGAGCCUCAGAGCGUUGAACAUUUUGUUGUUUACAAUCUUGGGCUAUAAUGAUCAUCUCUUAUGGCUAAAUUUCACAUCUUUAAUUUUUCCCAGGAGUGGAAUUAACGUAGGUUAUUAUUGCUGGAUCUGUCCAGGAAGGGAUUUUGAACCACUUCAGUAAAUAUCUGAGAGAGAAUCCAAAGAAAAUAAUCCCAGUCAUUACAUCUCCUCUUUCUAGUUUCCCAUGUGUAUUUCCUCAGUCUGAAAGUCAUGGAAGGAAAAACAGCUGAUUUGUCUUUUAUGAAAGAGCUUUCAAUGCAGAUUUUUAGAAAUUAAAUGAAGGUUUUGCCUUUAUUGCUCUAAGGAGUAAGUUCAUUAUAGAAAAGUUUACAAGGACAGAAAAGUAAAGGGAAAAAAAUCCCCCACUGUUUCAAUAGUUUUGGUUUGUCCUUUUCCUUCUGGACUUUUCUGUAUUUGUACUUGGAAAUUUAUAGACAAUUGUGUUCAUAUUGUGUGUAUAACAUCGUGUCUUGUUUUUUUCCGUUAGUCCUAGGAGCCUCCACAUUUUCCCAGGUUUUUCUAAACACAUCAGAAACAUCAUUAGAAUGUCUGCAUUGGCUGGAUUAUCCGGUGUAGCUUUUGACACUGGUCCCUCUUCUAGGCUGUAGAGAUUUAGGCCUAAAUCUUGUCCUCUUUCCCUACAAAGACCCUCACCUCCCAAACCCUAUAUCCUCUCGCCAAAGUUACUAGCAUCCCUUUCUUUGCUAGCAACUCUGCCAAAAUAGAUUCUUAUUUUCAUUUUAGUCAUCUUUUUUACCCUUUCUGCUUUAUUUCCUCUUCCCCAGGGCUGUGCCUCCACCUCCCAGACCUGAGAAGCACGUGGGAACCUGGAGGAGGAGCAGCGCAGAGACUGGUAUCCUGGCACCAGCCCAGCUGGCCUGCAUUUAAAUCCAGCUUGGCUUGAGAGCCUCGAGUACAGUGGACAGGCUCCAGUGGAACCGGGGUGUGCGUGCGGGUACGUGUGUGUGUGUAGGGGUCAUUGCCUGAUCACUCUACCCACACUGUAGCCCUUGGUUAGAAUAAAAAAAGCACCUUAUCUUCCACAUGAGGAUUGGGGGAUGCUAAGAAAGGUAGAGAUGGACUUUGGGGAAAUUGGUCACUUACUAUGGGUAGGUAAUCCUCAGUAAGAGAAAUGAUAUAUUCUUGAGAAGAACCAGGAAGAGAAGGAAUUUCUCCUUCAAACCAAGUGACACAUGCCUCCUGGGAUCCUGAGAGGCAGCAGGAGGUAGUGAAGAGAAUAUGAUGCGUGCUCUUUGGAACCAGGCAGACCUGGGUUCGAUUUCUGUCUUAGUCACUGAGUGACCUUGAAAAAAGUAACUAUCCUCUCUGUGCCUCAGUGUCUUUAUGCAAAAUGGCUAUGUUGUACUGAUGACAGAAGAUGCGCAAUAUACAGGAACUGGCAAGAUGUCUGGAACAGUUUCUUUGAGUUCUUAAAGUGACAAUGAGAGAAUGGGCCCUGACAGCACCCUUAGUGCCCAGAGCCUUGUAGGUGAUUGAUGCACAAGUGUGAAUAACUGGGAAAUGCAGGGCAUCCCAGAAUGCAUAGUCAUAGCCAUGAUAUCUCAUAUUUAUGGAGUCCACAUCCUGUGCUCUUGCUAACACUUCAUAGCCAUCAUUUCACAUAAUCAUCCCAAUAAUCCUGUGAAGUAGGAAUUAUCUCCAUGUUACAGGCUCAGAAACUGGGACUAGGAAGUAGGGACUCUGGGCUCAUAUCCCUCAUGACCCCAAAGCUGGCGCUUGUGACCAUUGGACCUAAAUCAUUGUCCCCAAAUCACUGUCCCCUCAUCUUCCACUUGGGGAUCUGGUGUCAGUUUCCACUCAAUGCUAGAAAAUCACUGUGAUAAAUAGGUUUAAACAAAUAGAACCACAUAAUCGGGGAACAUUAUACUAGGUAGUAUAACGCCUAGGAAAUAAAUCAGCCUUUUAAGUUUUAUAUUGCAAUACAGCUGAAAUGCUUAAUAAUUAUUGCCAGAGAAUGGUAUAAUGCAGUACUAAAAAUGAGUAAUUGAAAAGCCCAUCAAGGCAGAUGAGGCAUCUUCUCACUGAAUUGCUCUCAAAUACUUUACAUAAUUAUUUCAUUCAGAUUUAUGAUCAGCUCAGCAGAAUGUGUGUCUCUUUAUCCUGCUUUGCCUGAAGUUGUUCAGGAAUCCUUUUUAUAUUGUGCCAACACCUUCUGGGAUGGACAAACGAAUGUCUCUUGUACACUAAUGGGGCUUUCAAUGGUUUGAUUUCAUUUAGCAAAGGACAAGAUUGGGAGCGAAAACUCUGUUGGCUGAGGACCCUCCGUGUCCCAGUCACUGGGCUGGGGUUUAUAAGCAUUAACUAUGUUGGCUCAGUUAAAGUCCAUAGCAAUCCUGAGACGGGACUAUGUUUUCCAUCUCACAGAAGAAAAUGAGGCUCUGAGAAAUGGCGUCACUUAAUCAGAAUUGCCAGGCUCAUAGUGAACUCACACCCGGCAGUCUGGCUCCAAACCAGUGGCCUUUCCACCACAUCACCAGCCUCCAGCAAGACCCUGUGUGCCCAGAGAAGGCUUAGAUUUUUGGAAAGAGGAUUCUAGUAAGGUCAGAUGCAGAAAAAACUGAUCCUAGCCAGAUUUUAUUUGCAGCUCUGGCUUUUUAAACAUCUGAGUUGGUCCUCCACCCCCAUCCCUUCCUCCUCAUUCCUCCAUUCUUACAGUGUCAGCACCUCCAGGCGAGAGGGAUCCAGCCCUGUCUCCAUCAGGGACACAGUUUCCCAUGGAUUCAGCCUCCCCACCCUGCCAGAUCAUCCCAGGCUGUCGGAUUUAUCAGAGGCACAAGCUUAUCAGCUUGCCUCUCCCUGGAGCCCUGGAGUGGGAGUUCUUGGCAAAUUCCAUUCACUGGCAAGUGUGGACAGAUGGCUGCCUGGAUGAGCGGACAACCUUUGUUUCUGGUCUCACCCAUAUGUCAAAGUGGCCCAAACAAGGAAAAGUGGGGAGGGGGCAGGAGGGAAAGGAUGGGGCCACCUCAUAGGCAGGAAAAAUCCUAACAUCCAUUUUAUUCUAAACAUUGCAUUUAGAAGUUUAUAAAUAGAAGAGAGGGACUCUCUGACUCUUCCCCUCCCAAGCAUAGGACAGUGACAUUUCUGGCAUUUUUCUGGUUUUUCUCCCCAAAGCCCCAGUUUCCUCCUUACCCACGAUGCUUGCUUGGACUCUGCUUAUGUCAGCAGACAUCAGCACAGGGUCAACACUCUGCUCCUCUCCCCGACCCCUCGCCUUGAGAAUGAGGUAAGGUUCUGCUGAGGGUUAUUUCAGAAGGGGCUUAAACAGGUCCUUGAAUGUCUUCAUUCUCCAGGCUAUAAAAGCAUGUCAGAUUUCUCCUCACACAGCAGACAUCACGCAUGGACUUAAAUCUUACUGAAUAUGGUACAUGUCUGUGAAUGUCUCUGCUCCCUGGGGAAAUGCCAAACUUUGAUCUAACUGUAUUUUAACACUAAGAAUGUCUCUUAAAGAAGUGGAUUUAUGGCAAUUCUCAGUGGCUAUUUGUCAAACACAUCCAAUGUGGUUCCCAGCCUUGGGGGUACUAAGAGCCUCCAAAACAAAUCAAAUGUCUGAGGAGAAUGCAUUUGGUCUCCAUGAGCUCAAGGGUGGAGGGUUGGGGGAGACAACAUCAAGUCAUGCGGAGGCGGCACUGAGCUGGGCUCCGUGGGGAGGGAGCUGAGAGCCUGGCUCACGCCUUGCUGAGGAGCAGGAGAUGUGAGCGGUUCACCGGCUGAUGGAUGACAGGAAGAAGCUCUUCCAGAUAAUUAUUAGAAGCAGGGAAUCCGCUGUUGUCCUGUCAACACAGUGUAUUGUGGGAGAAAGAACACUGAUGAGAGGCGAGAGGGGUCAGGAAGAACACAGAGAGAGAAACAGGCAUAGGAAGUGCUCAUCAUUGGCCAUGGACUGUGUUAAGAAGCCUUCCUGAAAACCCCAGAGCCUGAGCCAGAUGUGCUGCACUCUAUGCCCACCUAGUCCUUUAUCUGCUCCUCUCCAGAGCUCCAUCGCUUCCGUGAACGUGAGCCUUGGAACCACCUGGGAACUUUGUGGAAAUAAUGAUGCCAGGCAGAUCAGUUGAAUCAGAAGCUCUCAGAGUGAGGCCGGGGUGGCAGAGCUUUUUUAAAGGCCCUGGGUGAUUUAGAUGGACAUUUAGGAUGACGAGCAUCUUGAGUCUAGUCUGUCGUAUCUGACUGCAGGGGCUGGAUCUACCUUGCUUACUUUUGUGUGACCAGCACCUAGCACUGGGUCUGGCACAUCACACAAAUUUAAUUAAUCUUUGUGGAAUGAAUAAAUGAAUUGAAUAAAAUUAAAGAAGUGUUAUUGCUCUCUCUCUUUUAUUU
This is a non-coding RNA of Equus caballus (horse), 5772 nucleotides long. The record is from RefSeq and is a predicted model, not a curated record. NCBI's taxonomy places the organism in Eukaryota, Metazoa, Chordata, Mammalia, Perissodactyla, Equidae.